AGAUCAGGAAGGAUCAGAAAGCCACCAGGAGCCAAGGCACUGUCUUCCCAGAGUGAUUUUCUCCCUGUCCUCAAGGGCAGCUCAGAAAAGGGCCAUCCAAGCCCUGUGUUUCCUCUGGUUCCAGAGCCACACCUACAGAGAAGCUGAGCCUCAAUUCCAAAUUCUUCAUUGGUUUAGUCCAGCUAGAUACAUCUGAAUUUAAAUUGACUGAGACACCAGGCACCAGGCCGGGGACUAAGAGAGUUGAAGCCCCACUGUGGAGCCUCAUUCCUGCUUCCUCUCAUCUGCAGUGCUGUCUGCUGUAGGGUCAUCGCUGACAUUAAACACCUCAGUGCUACACAGCUUACUAAAGAGCUUACCAUCCAGUAAAAACCCAGCAGCUCUUACUCUUAUUAUCACCAAAAUAAAAUUUGGGCCUCCCACUGGGUUAUUGCCCUGGAAAAAGAAGGAAGAUGUGGUGAGCUGAACGGUGGUCCUGGAAGGCUGUGGUCAUCCACACAGCCAUGAAUGUGACCUUUCUCGGACUUAGGGUCUCCGGCUCUGACCUGGAGGUGUGACUGACUAUUGGUGAAUGCUGCUGCCAGGCGCUGUCCAACAGAAAGGCAGGCAUCUUCCAUACAAGAAGCCCUGCGACCUCAGCAACAGUGUGGGACAAGCUUUGACUCGUUCAGUGCUGUUGUGAUCGAGAAAAGGUGUGUUUUGACGUAUGCCGUACAUCGUGAACAAGGCAUGUUCAGUAUGAAAAUGACAUGACAAUAUGAAACCUUGUCUCAAGCUACCAAAAAGUGCUAAAGAGUCACACAAAACACUGAAAUUAGUUUAUGGUGAUCCUGCCAUGACCAUGAAGAUGGUUUGCUAGUGGUUUAUAGUGGUUGUGAACGUGUUAAACCAAGAGAGACAGUGAUAUCCUUCAACAUCCAAGCCCCAAGAGCAUGUUAACAGAGAAAACAAAAGGAUUCAAUCAGAUGGGCGAUCAACUAGGAGGGUAAUCUCUGAGGCACUGAGUAUCUUGUGGUUCCAUUCAAAGCAUCUUAACAGAUUUCAACAUGAGGCAAAGGAGUAUGAAAUUUAUUCCACUCAAUUUGACUGUCAACCACAGCACAGUGUCAAGUUCAUUGAGUUGCAGUUGGUGCCACAACAGAGCCCAGCCCUGUGGGAAAUGUCAGUCUGGGAGAUGGACUUUGGUUUCCAUGAUUAUGAUCAUGAGAUACUGUUCAGGGUUCUCCAUAGAAAUCACCUCCUCGUUAUGCAAAAAUGUGCAUGGUUCAGUGUUCAACAUUAGAGUAAUACAGA
This is a long non-coding RNA of Cavia porcellus (domestic guinea pig), 1293 nucleotides long. RefSeq lists it as uncharacterized. The record is from RefSeq and is a predicted model, not a curated record. The transcript has 2 exons. Lineage: Eukaryota; Metazoa; Chordata; Mammalia; Rodentia; Caviidae.